RNAcentral lists this ribosomal RNA (460 nucleotides) under uncultured bacterium. RNAcentral describes it as "partial 16S ribosomal RNA". It matches the Rfam family "Bacterial small subunit ribosomal RNA", at positions 338 to 795 of the family's 1533-position model. The record is from RNAcentral.
CCUACGGGAGGCAGCAGUGAGGAAUAUUGGUCAAUGGACGAGAGUCUGAACCAGCCAAGUAGCGUGAAGGAUGACUGCCCUAUGGGUUGUAAACUUCUUUUAUAAAGGAAUAAAACGAGGCACGUGUGCCUUUUUGCAUGUACUUUAUGAAUAAGGAUCGGCUAACUCCGUGCCAGCAGCCGCGGUAAUACGGAGGAUCCGAGCGUUAUCCGGAUUGAUUGGGGUUAAAGGGAGCGUAGAUGGGUUGUUAAGUCAGUUGUGAAAGUUUGCGGCUCAACCGUAAAAUUGCAAUUGAUACUGGCAGUCUUGAGUACAGUUGAGGUAGGCGGAAUUCGUGGUGUAGCGGUGAAAUGCUUAGAUAUCACGAAGAACCCCGAUUGCGAAGGCAGCUUACUAAACUGUGACUGACAUUGCUGCUCGAAAGUGUGGGUAUCAAACAGGAUUAGAUACCCUUGUAGUC